UUUAAAUCGCAACUCUGUUUCACCAGUAGUACGGCGCGCGUACAUAACAAAAGAUUAGUGUGUUUCUUUAAAUGGAGAGAAAAUUUGGAAGAAGAGAAGAAAAUGUCGGCAAGAAGAACAGGGGUGACCCCUGACGUGGAAAGCAGUCCUGUCAAUUGGGCUUCCGUCUAUCAAGAAGCAAGCAAUCUUCUACCACCGAGAGAUGAACCCGCGCCUCCAGGACGGCCGGUGAGGCCGCAACCUCACCGCCCUCCAGGUCAUGCCAUGCACAUGACGGGUUACGAGGGGUUUUGCUUCAUAAAGCGCUCCCGGGAGAAAAAACCAGCAGAGACAGGUUUCACGCGAGAGUCCAGCCAAAACAGCUUCACCAGUUUCAGCGAUGCGGCCCCAAAAAAGUUUAGAUUUAAACACGUGUUCAGGAAUUUGAUGCUAGGUUGCUUUGGUUUCCACAAGCACUUGAGCUAAAUGUUCACAUAGCCAGUUGCAAGAUUUUUUGAAAAGUUGAAAGUUACAACAUAAUAUUGAAAUGCUACAUUGCUUAACUGAUAUGGUCACCUUUGCCCAGUAAAGUUGAGAAAACCGCUCACGACUAUCAGCAUAUUCAGUCCGAAAAAAAGCUGCUGUACAGUCGUCAGUGCAACUAGCAAAAAUUCUCAAAUAUAAUAGACAAACAUUAUAAUAUUAACUUACAGAAAAAUGUCGUCGCAUUUCUUCAUAAAGGUGAAAAGCAUUUUAAGAUACAAAUCACAAAGAAGAAAUGAACAGCUGAUAGACAUUCAAAUACAUUCGGUGGACUAAAAAAAAACAAUCGUGUUUAAUGGACUCAGGAAUUCAAUUCAUUCAUUGUAAUACAAUAGUUACCUACAUGCAGUUUUUACAACAUUUUUUUGCAUUUUUAUGCAACUGGCUAAAAUCUUCUUCUUGUCGUGUCGACAACAAACCUACAGUGUCAGCCCGAAACUCUGCUACAAGAGUGGCGUUGGUUGACUGACUAUAUUUAUGUGAAAUAAAAUUAAAAUAUUAUAACUAUAUGGAUUAAACUAUAAUUUAUUGGAGUUUUUGUCGGCCACUUUACCAGUCGCGCUGAAACCGCGUGGUGAAGCCAUCCCACUGUUGGGAUGAGUGAGAUCUGCCGAAAUAUAAUAUCUUUGCUUUAUUUAAUGUCAAUUACAUAGUUUUAUUUAACCAAAAAAACAAUAAAAAUGUUUAACGAUAAAUCACAAAAAAAAUUGAUACAAAUAUUAAUGUAGCUAAUGUAAAUGCUUAUAAAAUUGUUACUUAAUCAUGUUUUAAAGGUAAUAAAAUUAUCAUAUCACUAAUAUAA
Ostrinia nubilalis (European corn borer) is the source of this 1324-nucleotide long non-coding RNA. RefSeq lists it as uncharacterized. The transcript has 3 exons. The record is from RefSeq and is a predicted model, not a curated record. Lineage: Eukaryota; Metazoa; Arthropoda; Insecta; Lepidoptera; Crambidae.